UUACUAGAUGGACACAGUAAAAUUUGUGUCACCAAUCAUUUCCUUCUUCCUCAAAACCCCCAAAUUCCCCACCUCCACAAAACCUAAAUUAACCCCCACCAAGCUAAUUAAGGAGAUCUCCACUGUAUCUCCACCGUGUCUCCACCAUGACCAACGCCAAUUCCAACGUCCACGAAAACCUAACCAGAUUUAGUUACCACUUACCAUCAAUGCUCUCCUCUCAUGUACUCUCCUCCGCUACCCAAAUUAAGCGUAUGAUUCAGUUUAAAGCAAUCUAUUACUCAUAUCGAUUUUCACUUUCCUCCUCCUGCAGAUGCAGGCGAUGUAAUUCAGAAGCAUCUUCUGUGGAGACUCAGAGAGAUCUAAAGUCAAAUGCCUUGUGACAGUUCCGGUAUGGCUACUUACGAACCAAAGACCAUCCUUAUCACUGGAGCUGCAGGCUUCAUUGCCUUUCAUGUUGUUAACCGGCUGAUCACAAACUACCCUGAUUACAAGAUCGUUGUGCUUGACAAAGAUCGUCCGCCAACUUGAAGUUUGUGAAGGGGGGUAUCGGCAGCGCCGACCUCGUCAACUACCUUCUGAUCACCUAGUCGAUCGAUACCAUCAUGCACUUUGCUGCACAGACUCACGUCGAUAAGUCGUUUGGCAACAAUUUUGAGUUCACAAAGAAUAACAUCUACGGAACGCAUGUGCUUCUAGAAGCCUGCAAAGUCACCGGCCCGAUUAGAAGGUUUAUUCACGUGAGUACAGAUGAGGUGUAUGGAAAAACAGAGGAGGAUGCCGUUGUUGGUAACCAUGAAGCUUCGCAACUUCUUCCUACGAACCCGUAUUCAGCCACAAAAGCUGGUGCGGAAAUGCCAUAGCUUACGGUAGGUCAUACGGGUUGCCCGUGAUCACCACUAGAGGAAACAAUGUUUAUGGCCCAAACCAGUUCCCGGAAAAACUAAUCCCGAAGUUCAUUCUUCUGGCGAUGAGAGGACAACCGCUUCCGAUUCACGAUGACGGUUCUAACGUAAGGAGUUACCUCUAUGGCGAAGACGUUGCUGAGGCUUUUGAAGUAAUUCUUUACAAGGGGGGAAGUUGGUCAUGUUUACAACAUCGGGACCAAAAAGGAAAGGAGAGUGAUUGAUGUUGCAAAAGAUAUGUGUAAGCUUGUCAAUAUGGAUCCAGAUUCAAGCAUUAAGUUCGUGGAGAACAGACCGUUUAACGAUCAGCGGUAUUUCUUAGACGACGAGAAGUUGAAGAGCUUGGGUUGGUCCGUCUGACCGUAUAAACAAACGUUACUCAAGGUUCUAGAAUCAGAACAGAGUCCAGAUCCUGGUCUUGUUUUGCCUGAGUUUCCAUAUAAUUGCUCAGUUUCAGGACCAAUAAUCGUUGAUCUGAACUAUACUAGAUUUAGAAUUAUAGUCUUAUAUAAUGUAACUUAUGUGAUUUUUUGGUACAUUAGUUAACAACUGAUAACUAGUGGAAAUGACUGGAGAAUAAGCACUAGUUCAAUUCAAGUUUUUAUUUUUUUAAA
Molecule: long non-coding RNA, 1519 nt
Organism: Helianthus annuus (common sunflower)
Lineage: Eukaryota; Viridiplantae; Streptophyta; Magnoliopsida; Asterales; Asteraceae
Exons: 2
Source: RefSeq, a predicted model, not a curated record